This 1042-nucleotide ribosomal RNA is filed under the name Enterococcus hirae. RNAcentral describes it as "partial 23S ribosomal RNA". It matches the Rfam family "Bacterial large subunit ribosomal RNA", at positions 483 to 1526 of the family's 2925-position model. The record is from RNAcentral. Lineage: Bacteria; Bacillati; Bacillota; Bacilli; Lactobacillales; Enterococcaceae.
ACCGAUAGUGAACCAGUACCGUGAGGGAAAGGUGAAAAGCACCCCGGAAGGGGAGUGAAAUAGAACCUGAAACCGUGUGCCUACAACAAGUCAAAGCCCGUUAAUGGGUGAUGGCGUGCCUUUUGUAGAAUGAACCGGCGAGUUACGAUUGCAUGCGAGGUUAAGUUGAAGAGACGGAGCCGCAGCGAAAGCGAGUCUGAAUAGGGCGUUUGAGUAUGUAGUCGUAGACCCGAAACCAUGUGAUCUACCCAUGUCCAGGUUGAAGGUGCGGUAAAACGCACUGGAGGACCGAACCCACGUACGUUGAAAAGUGCGGGGAUGAGGUGUGGGUAGCGGAGAAAUUCCAAACGAACUUGGAGAUAGCUGGUUCUCUCCGAAAUAGCUUUAGGGCUAGCCUCGGAAUUGAGAAUGAUGGAGGUAGAGCACUGUUUGGACUAGGGGCCCAUCUCGGGUUACCGAAUUCAGAUAAACUCCGAAUGCCAUUCAUUCAUAUCCGGGAGUCAGACUGUGAGUGAUAAGAUCCAUAGUCGAAAGGGAAACAGCCCAGACCACCAGCUAAGGUCCCAAAAUAUAUGUUAAGUGGAAAAGGAUGUGGGGUUGCACAGACAACUAGGAUGUUGGCUUAGAAGCAGCCACCAUUUAAAGAGUGCGUAAUAGCUCACUAGUCGAGUGACCCUGCGCCGAAAAUGUACCGGGGCUAAACAUAUUACCGAAGCUGUGGAGUACACCUUUAGGUGUAUUGGUAGGAGAGCGUUCUAAGGGCGUUGAAGGCAGAUCGUGAGGACUGCUGGAGCGCUUAGAAGUGAGAAUGCCGGUAUGAGUAGCGAAAGACAGGUGAGAAUCCUGUCCACCGAAUGACUAAGGUUUCCUGGGGAAGGCUCGUCCGCCCAGGGUUAGUCGGGACCUAAGCCGAGGCCGACAGGCGUAGGCGAUGGACAACAGGUUGAUAUUCCUGUACUCGUUGUUUUUGUUUGAGCAAUGGAGGGACGCAGGAGGCUAAGGAAUGCAGACGAUUGGAAAUGUCUGUCUAAGCAGUAAGUCU